This 24-nucleotide non-coding RNA is filed under the name Arabidopsis thaliana (thale cress). The record is from RNAcentral. Lineage: Eukaryota; Viridiplantae; Streptophyta; Magnoliopsida; Brassicales; Brassicaceae.
AUCUUUUGCAACUACAUAUAGAAC